This 467-nucleotide ribosomal RNA is filed under the name uncultured bacterium. RNAcentral describes it as "partial 16S ribosomal RNA". It matches the Rfam family "Bacterial small subunit ribosomal RNA", at positions 28 to 507 of the family's 1533-position model. The record is from RNAcentral.
GAUGAACGCUGGCGGCGUGCUUAACACAUGCAAGUCGAACGGUGAAGCAGAGCUUGCUCUGUGGAUCAGUGGCGAACGGGUGAGUAACACGUGAGCAACCUGCCCCUGACUCUGGGAUAAGCGCUGGAAACGGCGUCUAAUACUGGAUAUGAGCUGCGACCGCAUGGUCAGCAGUUGGAAAGAUUUUUCGGUCUGGGAUGGGCUCACGGCCUAUCAGCUUGUUGGUGAGGUAAUGGCUCGCCAAGGCGUCGACGGGUAGCCGGCCUGAGAGGGUGACCGGCCACACUGGGACUGAGACACGGCCCAGACUCCUACGGGAGGCAGCAGUGGGGAAUAUUGCACAAUGGGCGAAAGCCUGAUGCAGCAACGCCGCGUGAGGGAUGACGGCCUUCGGGUUGUAAACCUCUUUUAGCAGGGAAGAAGCGAAAGCGACGGUACCUGCAGAAAAAGCGCCGGCUAACUACGUG